Molecule: ribosomal RNA, 745 nt
Filed under: uncultured bacterium
Lineage: Bacteria
Description: bacterial SSU rRNA
Rfam family: Bacterial small subunit ribosomal RNA
Source: RNAcentral
UCGAACGGAGCUUAGAGAGCUUGCUUUUUAAGCUUAGUGGCGAACGGGUGAGCAAUGCGUGAGUAACCUGCCCUAGAGUGGGGGACAACAGUUGGAAACGACUGCUAAUACCGCAUAAGCCCACGGUGCCGCAUGGCACUGAGGGAAAAGGAUUUAUUCGCUUUAGGAUGGACUCGCGUCCAAUUAGCUAGUUGGUGAGGUAACGGCCCACCAAGGCGACGAUUGGUAGCCGGACUGAGAGGUUGAACGGCCACAUUGGGACUGAGACACGGCCCAGACUCCUACGGGAGGCAGCAGUGGGGGAUAUUGCACAAUGGGGGAAACCCUGAUGCAGCGACGCCGCGUGGAGGAAGAAGGUUUUCGGAUUGUAAACUCCUGUCGUUAGGGACGAUAAUGACGGUACCUAACAAGAAAGCACCGGCUAACUACGUGCCAGCAGCCGCGGUAAAACGUAGGGUGCAAGCGUUGUCCGGAAUUACUGGGUGUAAAGGGAGCGCAGGCGGGAAGACAAGUUGGAAGUGAAAACCAUGGGCUCAACCCAUGAAUUGCUUUCAAAACUGUUUUUCUUGAGUAGUGCAGAGGUAGAUGGAAUUCCCGGUGUAGCGGUGGAAUGCGUAGAUAUCGGGAGGAACACCAGUGGCGAAGGCGGUCUACUGGGCACCAACUGACGCUGAGGCUCGAAAGCAUGGGUAGCAAACAGGAUUAGAUACCCUGGUAGUCCAUGCCGUAAACGAUGAUUACUAGG